Molecule: ribosomal RNA, 460 nt
Filed under: uncultured bacterium
Lineage: Bacteria
Description: partial 16S ribosomal RNA
Rfam family: Bacterial small subunit ribosomal RNA
Source: RNAcentral
CCUACGGGAGGCAGCAGUGAGGAAUAUUGGUCAAUGGACGAGAGUCUGAACCAGCCAAGUAGCGUGAAGGAUGACUGCCCUAUGGGUUGUAAACUUCUUUUAUAUGGGAAUAAAAUGUUCCACGUGUGGGAUUUUGUAUGUACCAUAUGAAUAAGGAUCGGCUAACUCCGUGCCAGCAGCCGCGGUAAUACGGAGGCACCGAGCGUUAUCCGGAUUUAUUGGGUUUAAAGGGAGCGUAGGUGGAUUGUUAAGUCAGUUGUGAAAGUUUGCGGCUCAACCGUAAAAUUGCAGUUGAAACUGGCAGUCUUGAGUACAGUAGAGGUGGGCGGAAUUCGUGGUGUAGCGGUGAAAUGCUUAGAUAUCACGAAGAACUCCGAUUGCGAAGGCAGUUCACUGGACUGCAACUGACACUGAGGCUCGAAAGUGUGGGUAUCAAACAGGAUUAGAUACCCGAGUAGUC